Molecule: ribosomal RNA, 433 nt
Filed under: uncultured bacterium
Lineage: Bacteria
Description: partial 16S ribosomal RNA
Rfam family: Bacterial small subunit ribosomal RNA
Source: RNAcentral
AACGAACGCUGGCGGCAUGCCUAACACAUGCAAGUCGAACGAGACCUUCGGGUCUAGUUGCGCACGGGUGCGUAACGCGUGGGAACCUGCCCUUAGGUUCGGAAUAACUCCCCGAAAGGGGUGCUAAUACCGGAUAAUGUCUUCGGACCAAAGAUUUAUCGCCUUUGGAUGGGCCCGCGUUGGAUUAGCUAGUUGGUAGGGUAAAAGCCUACCAAGGCGACGAUCCAUAGCUGGUCUGAGAGGAUGAUCAGCCACACUGGGACUGAGACACGGCCCAGACUACUACGCGAGGGAGGAGUGGGGAAUAUUGGACAAUGGGCGAGAGCAUGAUCCAGCAAUGCCGGGUGAGUGAUGAAGGUCUUAGGGUUGUAAAGCUCUUUUACCCGGGAUGAUAAUGACAGUACCGGGAGAAUAAGCACCGGCUAACUCCGUG